AACGAACGCUGGCGGCAUGCCUAACACAUGCAAGUCGAACGAGACCUUCGGGUUUAGUGGCUCACGGGUGCGUAACGCGUGGGAACCUGCCCUUAGGUUCGGAAUAACCCCCCGAAAGGGGUGCUAAUACCGGAUAAUGUCUUCGGACCAAAGAUUUAUUGCCUUUGGAUGGGCCCGCGUUGGAUUAGCUAGUUGGUAGGGUAAAAGCCUACCAAGGCGACGAUCCAUAGCUGGUCUGAGAGGAUGAUCAGCCACACUGGGACUGAGACACGGCCCAGACUCCUACGGGAGGCAGCAGUGGGGAAUAUUGGACAAUGGGCGAAAGCCUGAUCCAGCAAUGCCGCGUGAGUGAUGAAGGCCUUAGGGUUGUAAAGCUCUUUUACCCGGGAUGAUAAUGACAGUACCGGGAGAAUAAGCUCCGGCUAACUCCGUG
RNAcentral lists this ribosomal RNA (433 nucleotides) under uncultured bacterium. Its description in RNAcentral is "partial 16S ribosomal RNA". It matches the Rfam family "Bacterial small subunit ribosomal RNA", at positions 29 to 507 of the family's 1533-position model. The record is from RNAcentral.